RNAcentral lists this ribosomal RNA (437 nucleotides) under uncultured bacterium. RNAcentral's name for it is "partial 16S ribosomal RNA". It matches the Rfam family "Bacterial small subunit ribosomal RNA", at positions 29 to 507 of the family's 1533-position model. The record is from RNAcentral.
AGCGAACGCUGGCGGCAGGCUUAACACAUGCAAGUCGAGCGGGCAUCCUUGUGGUGUCAGCGGCAGACGGGUGAGUAACGCGUGGGAACGUGCCCUUCGGUUCGGAAUAACUCAGGGAAACUUGAGCUAAUACCGGAUACGUGCGAGAGCAGAAAGGUUUAUCUGCCGAAGGAUCGGCCCGCGUCCGAUUAGCUAGUUGGUGAGGUUACGGCUCACCAAGGCGACGAUCAGUAGCUGGUCUGAGAGGAUGAUCAGCCACACUGGGACUGAGACACGGCCCAGACUCCUACGGGAGGCAGCAGUGGGGAAUAUUGGACAAUGGGGGCAACCCUGAUCCAGCCAUGCCGCGUGAGUGAUGACGGCCUUAGGGUUGUAAAGCUCUUUUCUCCGGGACGAUAAUGACGGUACCGGAGGAAUAAGCCCCGGCUAACUUCGUG